GAUGAACGCUAGCGGGAGGCUUAAUACAUGCAAGUCGAGCGGUAGAUUGACUUCGGUUGAUUGAGAGCGGCGCACGGGUGAGUAACGCGUACGUGACCUGCCCUUAAGAGGGGAUAGCCCUGGGAAACUGGGAGUAAUCCGCCAUGUGUUUGUGAAGCUGCAUGGUUUUACAAAUAAAGCUGAGGCGCUUAAGGAUGGGCGUGCGUCUGAUUAGGUAUUGGCAGGGUAACGGCCUACCAAGCCUACGAUCAGUAGGGGGCUGAGAGCGUGGCCCCCCCAACGGGUACUGAGACACGGACCCGAUUCCUACGGGAGGCAGCAGUUAAGGAAUAUUGGUCAAUGGGCGAAGCCUGAACCAGCCAUCCCGCGUGCAGGAUGAAGGCCCUAUGGGUUGUAAACUG
Molecule: ribosomal RNA, 401 nt
Filed under: uncultured bacterium
Lineage: Bacteria
Description: bacterial SSU rRNA
Rfam family: Bacterial small subunit ribosomal RNA
Source: RNAcentral